GCUGGAUAGCUCAGCUGGUUAGAGCGAGUUGGAUAUAGCAUGGUGCUGAUAACACCAAGAUCACAGGUUCAAUCCCCGUAAGGGGCAGCU
Podarcis lilfordi (Lilford's wall lizard) is the source of this 90-nucleotide non-coding RNA. The record is from the annotation of a GenBank genome assembly. Lineage: Eukaryota; Metazoa; Chordata; Lepidosauria; Squamata; Lacertidae.